AACAAACAGCAUUACAGCAA
RNAcentral lists this small nuclear RNA (20 nucleotides) under Arabidopsis thaliana (thale cress). Its description in RNAcentral is "snRNA_10953". The record is from RNAcentral. Lineage: Eukaryota; Viridiplantae; Streptophyta; Magnoliopsida; Brassicales; Brassicaceae.